CUUUAGGGUUAGGAAACAAAACUACAUUUCCCUCGUAACGUAAUUGACAAUGCGGUUUCGUUUUAUGGGAACUCAUUUUUUAGGAGACCAGGCUGG
Sebastes umbrosus (honeycomb rockfish) is the source of this 96-nucleotide long non-coding RNA. RefSeq lists it as uncharacterized. The transcript is spliced from 3 exons. The record is from RefSeq and is a predicted model, not a curated record. NCBI's taxonomy places the organism in Eukaryota, Metazoa, Chordata, Actinopteri, Perciformes, Sebastidae.